CUCGGACAGAAGAGGGAGUUGAAAUGGGGACCUUCCCAGCUUCAGCCCCCAGGAGAGAUGACUUUUCUUUCUUUAUCAGGCUACAACUUUUAAAAGGAGAAAAAUAUUUUUAAGAAAGAAAAAGCAGAAAAAAAGAAAACUUUUAAAGGAUGGAAGGGAUCCAGCUCUUUAAGCCACAAUAAAACUGCUCAUCACUCAGGAAGUGUGUUAGCCAAAACUACGAAAAGAAAUUCCUUCUUGACCGCCGUCGUUCCCAUGGUUGCAGUUCAUCCCCAAGUGCAGACCACAGACACAGAAAUCUGCGUCCCCCAGGCAUCUGCACAGCUAAGAAAUCGGAAGCGGCUGCCAGCCCCUCACCCUCGGGACUUUUACUGGUCCUGCGCCCAAUGAGCAGGUGAGGGGCGGCACAGAAAGACCUUCAUCGCCUUUAAUGGCUCUCAGAGUAUAAGAGCUCCCGGGCACUGUGGGACCUGGGUUCUGAGGUUCCCCUCGGGCGGCUUCCGGCCCGGCCCAGGGAACCAGCAGCUGCGGCUCUCCACAGAGUGCACGGGCAGAGGACCCUGCAGACCCCUGCUGAGAGGAAGCCGGAGACACGGCCUCAGGUGCAGGCCUUAGCUCAGCACACAGCUCUAUCUGCAGAGUGGCUCCCACAGCCUGGGCGUCACUGAGGAGACACACGCUGCACAGGGCCCGCUGGCCGGGCCCAACCUGGCCAAGGGAGGUGAUCACGCACCCAACCACAGGGCGUGCGGAAACUGGGGUGACUCCCUGGCACCUGGACGGGCUCAGAAGGGCCUUUUCAGUCCGUCCUGGGUGUCCAGCCUGUGACCACCAGCAGCUCCCUCCUGCUUGGACCUGAAGGCAGCUCCCUGCAGCAUCCAAGGACAUGGGUCACCCCUGCCCACCUGCCCUGGGCCUGGUCUCAAGUCAAAGCCGCCAGAGGUCCCCGUCCAGAAGCAGCGCUGUUUCCUCGCUGCCCCGCAUCCCCGGUGGCCUGGCCUGCCGGUCGCCCUCCAGUGAGACCCCACUCUGAGGCCUCAGGCUGGCACAGGCACCGAAACGCCCCCAAACGCCGCAGAAGCAGAGGAAAGGACACCUGCUUUUCAGCAAAGCCACUCCCUGGGUCACUCCUCCACGGGGCAGAGAUCUGUGAGAACCAUAAACUUGCAUUUUCUUCAGAAAGCACCUUCUUCUAUCUAACUGUGGAAGCCUUCUUAAAUAAGUACAAUACUGUAAUGUAAAUGCUAACUUCGGCCCCCAGUACACUCGCCAGCAAGGAAAGGAAUUCACAGGCGAGCACUCCACGUCAGCGCUGAAAAGAACUAGGAUGAUCCGUGUGCUCAGGCAGAGCGAUCUAAAGCAACACAUGGUAGGGACUGUCAGCGGACGCUGCCUCACUGUGAGCCUGCAGGAAAGGACCUGAGUGUAUUCAGAUGGUGACAGUAAGUUCUAACAAACUUCCCACACGCAGAUAUAAAUCCAAUCACAUCAGUAAAAAUAUCAGUAAAAACUGACUCUUACCCAAAGGGAUUACUGGCAAAGGCUUCGAGCCAGGGAGACCAAGGAGAGCACCCACUCGGGGAGGCCCAGAGGGCAGGGUGGGCUGCAGCUCCUGAGGGACCUGGAGCAGCUGAGGCUGAGGCGGCAGCACGGGCAGCGAGGCAGAGUGACUGUAGUGGAGCAGGACUAUACUCCCAGCAGUCUGGGGGGCUGAGGAAGGAGGAUCCAAGCACAAGCCCAACCUGGGCAACUUAGCGAGACCUUGUCUCCAAAUAAAAAGGGCUGGGGAUGCAGCUCAGUGGGAAGGCCCUGGGUUGGCUCCCUGCACCCCCGACACACACAUGCACACUCACACACAAGUGACUGCAGGACGUGUGCUCUCUGCCCCACCAGCAAGGGGAGCUCCAUGAGGAAGCUCAGUGAGUGUGAGGUUCGGCCACCAGCUGACGCAUGGGCGUUCGCCGCCGGGACAGACACCCUCAGGAAGCAGCCCCAGCCAGGACGCCAUGUCCCAGCCCACCGGCAGGCAUCCUGGACUGGAUCCCAGCCCCUCGAGCCACUGUGGGCUCUGGGCUCAGGACGCGAGGUGCCGCCCUGCAGGCCACCCGGGCCCCCCGGGCCCCGUGCCUGACCUUGGCCUUCCUGCUGCCCCCCGCCUUUUAAAGGUUUUCCUGGCAGCCUUGCCAUUUUGCUUCUGGUAGUGGCUUUUACAGAACCGGCUCUUUGUUUACGGGCCAGGACGCCACAAUUGCAGCAGCACAUGAGAUGUUCUAGAUGUUCCCGGCAGCUUCUCUUCAGCAUCAAAUAUUAAACUCCUGCCAUCGGCAGAGUUUGGACCUGGGGUGGGGCCAGCAGGAAGAGCUCGGGCGCAGAGACCUUGGCCUGACCUCAGAUCCAGGCAGGAGGGUGCUCGCCCGUGUCCCGCCCCAGGGACCGAGCUCCGAGAGAGCAAGCCAGCCCAGCGUCCGGCUCUGGCUCAAGGGCCCCAGGGCUGGGCUGGAAACAGAAUCCAACUGUGCCUCUCGAGGCCUCCAGCUGAAGCAGCUCUUUUCUUUUUCUUUUGCCUUUUCUUUUCUUCUUCUUCUUCUUUUAUUUUUUCUAAUUUUGAGACAAGGUCCUCCUGAGUCCCUUAGCUGCCCGAGGCUAGGCUCAAACUUACGAUCCUCCUGCUUCAGCAUCCCGGAGUGCUGGGGUCACAGGUGUGCAGCACCUCGCCUGCUGAGCAGCUCCUGGGCAGCAUUUCUGAGUCUCCACCGACUGUCACCUGAGCCCGAGGACUGCACACCGGCCCUGGAGGCCACUGUGCCUGCAGACGGCAAAAGGCGACACAUAGACACCAGGCAGUGACGGUAACACUGGCCGGGCCCACGCACUUCCAGCUUUGCUCCACCAUGCCCUUCCACCAUGACAUUCCUGCCUUGGAGCAGCCGAUCAGGGACUGAAUCCCCUGCAACUUUCCAUCUGCAUUUCCUGUUAUUCUCCAAUAAACAAAACGACAAGUCCUGAACCCAGGAUGACCACCCCAGGCGGAGGCCCGGGCUGAGCGGCUCCCUGGCUGUGGACAGGCUCCUGGGGACGGCCGAACCCUCCUCCUCUGCCCACAGACAGAGCCCGAAGCGCGUGUUCAGCGCAUGCCCUACCUGCACACUGCCACAGGACUACCUCGAAGCCGUCCCUGUCGGCGUGGUGCUUUGGGCCUCAAGUGUCUCCCAAGCACCGCUGUCUCAGGGGUUUGUCACGGUGACGGAAAGCUGGCCGAUGCGGACAUCUGGAGCCGCGCAGAGGAGGAUCUGCUCGGUGUCACUUCGGCACAGCCUGGGGGUCCUGUCCUAGGGCGCUGGCUUCUCAAGCUGGAGCAGACCUGGCCCAGCCUCUUGUCACCAAUCGCCGGCCACCUUGUUUGGAGGAUUCGAGUUCUGGGGUGCCAACCUAACCCGGCUCAACCCACAGAGACCAGAGCUGGGCCAAGGCUGAGUGUGAAGUAAGCCGCAUGGCGACACCUGGGCAAUGGCCUUCCCUGCCCCGCUGUGUCCCCGAGUCCUCUCCCCUCGUGGGCAGGUUCCAGUUUAAGGAGGUGGGAGGCUUGCCCCACAGAGCUGCAUGCGGCCUCAGGAAUGUGGAUUUGUGAACAGGGUUCUGGCUGCCCAGGGCCCUUCCAGGCUCUCAUCCUGUUCAAAGAAUUGUAUGGAGAGGCUUCACACGCAUUAAAGGUAAGAAGGGUGGGAGAAGUGCUCUGAAAGAAGCCCUGCUGUCAAAAGUCACAGGGCCCGAGGCUCAUGACCGCGCCCUGCCCAUCCUCCUCCCAAACUCAGAUCCAGGCCGCCCACCAAGUCCUGCUUGGGCUGUGCCGGAAGAAGCACAGGCAGCAUCCUCUGCUCAGUACCGGGCUGGCCUGGAAGCCGCUCUGCACACAUCCUGGCCUUGAUGGGCAGGUCACACCCCGGCCCAGCACCCCGCCUCGUCCGGACCCCAGCCCCAGUCUCAUGCCGUCCCCUGUGUGGUCGGCUUCCCAUCACCGUUACAAUGCUAGAGGCAACAUCUCAGGCAGAGGAAAGGCUUAGUCUGGGCCUCCGAGGUUCCAGCCAUGGUCCCUGGGCCUGGCUGCCUGGCAUUAGGGCAGAGGGGUGGCAGGAAAUGGAGAGAGGAGCCAAGGCCCUGGGGCCCCUCGGUCAGAGGCCUGUGGGGCACCCUAGAGAGGCCUGGGAGGACGCCUGGUGCACUCCUCACUGGUGCAGGACGGCCCAGGGUCUGGGCCAGGCAGGAGAUCUGCAUUUUCAGGUCCGCACCCAUGAACCAUUUUAAAGAAAGGAAAGGAAAGUUCUGAGAGGGAAGGGUGGGACUGGACCAGGGCCAGGGAGUCCAGGGCUGGGGCAAUGGACCCCCUCUUCUCAUAGAGAGGUGAGUGAGGCCUUAUACUGCUGGCUGCAGGCAGAAACUGCAACGUGCCAGAAAGGAGUUCCUCAGGGAAACGGGAAUAAUACUACUGAAGCCAGCACCGACAGAUGGGGUCAUCUCCUGCCUUGUCUGUGUAGCAGGUCACUGCCCAACACCCAGAAGGGGAGAAUGGCGGUUGCUGAGAUGCCACUGGAAAAGCCAGGCUUUCCUUCAUGCAAGAGAGCACAUGGUUGGCCUCCUUAGGGUUCAAGCACUGUGACCCUUGGCCAGAGAAGUCUGGGAAGGACUCCAGGCCCCCCGGAGCAGAUUCUGAGUCCCUGGCAGCUGCCUGGCACACAAGGGUCCUGCAGACAGCAAGGACUGCAUGGCUGUGUGACCCAUGCACAAAGCUUACUGCAACAUUCACACAGAAUCCCUGGGCAGAUGGUGGGGCUCGUGCCCUGGCAGCCCAGAGAGCAGAUGCCCAGGGCUCCCAGGUUGCCUGGGGUGCAGCCACAGAGCACCUACACCUGCCCCCCAGCCAUGGUGCAGCAAUUGUCUUUGGAGCCAGCUGCAAGGGAAGUGGCCAGCAGCUCCUGCCCAGUGCCCUGGGCAAACUUCCCACCACACUCUCAUUCUUCAGGUGCGCGGGGGCCUGGGACUCAGCUGCUCCCCUACUGCACGGCCUGCGUGGGAAGAAGCCCACUCCCCAGGCCACUGCAGUGCAUGGGAGGAAGGGCCCUGAGAGGACGUCCCCUCCCUGGACAACCAUCUGCUAGGCUGCCAGGGGCUGCCAGGAAGACACAGGCCCAGAGGGCCAGAGAGUUCCGGACGCCGUCUGGCGUUCCCACUGUGGGAAGGCACUGACCUGGCCAUUGCUCCUCGGAGAUCCUGGGCAGAGAGAUGGGGGCGGCACAGAAAGCUCACCCACAGGCCCGAGGCCUGUUUUUAUAAAUAAAGCUUUAUUGGAACACUGACGCUAUCCUUCCUUUGCAUCUUGUCUGUGGCUGCUUUCCUGCUACAGGAACAGUGGAAUCCUUGGGGCAACCAGGCUCAGGAUGUUUGCCAGACGGCAGGCGAUGCUGUCCCCCAGAAGAUGUAGCUUGUCCUGGCCGGUGGCUGACUCUGCCGUGGGUAUGCACACCAGCUCCUGUGUGGGAUUCCAGCGAUGAGGCAGAAAGGCCGCACGCGUUGUGGCAGCAGCAAAGGCCACUUGCCUGUGUGGCCAGGAUGUGACAGAGAAGGAAGAGAAGGGCCCGGUCCCCCACGUCUCCAAGGGCUCCCCAGGGACCUCGCCCUCAGCCUAUCACUGGGCUUGUCCGGCCUGGAGGAGAAUUUCUGCAGAACCAGUGAGCUCAUCCACUUGAGUGAGGGCACGGGAGGCCAGGAGGAGGCCCUGAGCGCUGUCCACCGCGAGCCAUGUUGGGGUGAACAGGAGUGCCUGCUGGAUCCAAGCCUGCCCCAGAGAAUACAAGAUCUGGGAGCUCUUCUGAGGAAAGAGACGGAACCCCAGCUGGUCACUGAGCAGAUGCUGCAGCCCCCCGGUGGGUCCAUGCACACCAGGAGCUCCGCUCGCCAGGUGCUGGCGGCCUCCUCCCGGUGUUUGCUGGUGAAGACGAGCCUGGACUUCCUUCAAAGUACGGCUGUCGCUGGCACAGGAGUGGGGGUUGGGGGUGACAGCUUGAGGGGGUUGUUUUUCCUUGUUAGCAAGUUCUGCGUUUAACAUUUAAAAUUAUGACAACUGAUGCAAUGUUUUCUUGAAAUGGUGAAGCUAUUUUAAACCAUUCAGCUGGACAGGAGUUUGUAGUUUAUACUGGUACACGUUUAAAACACUUCGCAAUUAAUUAUUGGGCUUAAAAAAUUAAAGCUAUAAUCUGGGCGUGGUGCUGCACACCUGUAAUCCCAGCACUUGGGAGGCUGACACAGGAGUAUCGCUGUGAGUUUGAGGCCAGCCUGGGCAAUAUGGUGAGACCCGUGUCAAUCCCCCCAGAUCAAAGCUGUAAAUUUAUUCCGAUUUCUGUCUUGCACUUCAUUUCAGUGGAAAUAAAGGGCCGGCUAGGAGCACUCUGACUGGCAGUGACGAGACAAUGACAGCUUUUGCUGAAGGCGAAACCUGCCGCCGUCAUUCUUGGGGAUCGGUAGCCUUUCCCCAGUGGGCUUGAGGCCCGGCGCGAGGUCCGUUCUUCACCAGGAGUGCGAAUUCUUCUCUCUAAAUGCAUGUUGACGUUUAGUUGGCACACAGUAAUCACACGCAUGUGGGUUUCGGUGCCGCACUUCGGCACGCGGCACGGAAUGAUCCGUGACUGACGCAGCCAUCGCCUCAAAUGGCAGUCGUUUCUUGGGGGAGGCCCCCGCAUCCCCUCCCUCACUGUUCUGAAAUACUCAGCUGAUCACGGCCCACCACACUUAUCCAGCCCUGCUGUCCUCCCACCCGCCUGCACCCCAACGCCCACGACCGCCCCUCUCCCCGUCCGGGGCUCGGGAGUCUCAGUGUCCCCUUCUUCUAGGAGAAACCUCUUAGCUGUGAUAAAAACAUCCCACGAGUGUUUGCUUUGUUUUGUUUUGGUUGGGUUUGGCGUUGUCUUUCUGCCCUGGCUCUUUCACCUGGAGGGGCGGCCCCCAGUUCCGUGAGAAAUGGAAGGCGGCCGCCCUGAAGAAGCCGAGCGCGCUCUCUGCCCAGGACCCCAGGCUGCAGCCCGCGUGCCCACAGGCGGGAUGCGCACGGCGCCCAGCUGUCGGGAGGGGGGUCCCGGGGCGCCAGGCGUGGACAGUGACAGGGCCGGCAGGGUCCACGGGGCGGGGAGGGGACGGUGUCUGGGGCUGAGGGCCAUGGGGCAGCAGAAUGAAUUAGCAGCUUCUCGUUCUCCUCCCGGAAUCCCCCAGGCCCUGGGACUUUUUGACCAGGAUGACGACCUUCAAGGACUGGGUGGUCGCUCUGACCACAGUGCAGAGUGGGGGAAGGAAAGGAGACGUGUCAGGAGGAGAUUCCGUGCCCGCCUGGACCAAGGAGCGUCAGAAGAAUGGGGAGGAGAAGGCGGGACCCAAGGCUAUUCAGGGAACCAAGUCAAGAGGCCCACAUUCAUCCCUGACAGCAUUAUUUAUCAGCAAUACACGUGUUUGUUUUGUUUUAUUUUGUUUUGGAGACAGGGUCUCACUAUAUCAUCCAGGCUGGUCUUGAACUCCCAGCAAUCCUCUUGCUUCGGCCUCCAGGUAACUAGGAUUACAGGUUUGCACCACCAUAUCUAGUUUAUACGUAUUUUUUGUUAUGUAUCAGCUAACAAAUUUAAUUUUAAAAACAAAUCCUGUUCUUUAAAACUUUUGUAAAACCAGGUGUUGUAAAA
Heterocephalus glaber (naked mole-rat) is the source of this 7715-nucleotide long non-coding RNA. NCBI's taxonomy places the organism in Eukaryota, Metazoa, Chordata, Mammalia, Rodentia, Bathyergidae. The record is from Ensembl.